GCGGAGGGCCGGACGGCCGCCCUGUCACAGGGGAGGAAAGUCCGGACUCCAUGAAGCAAGGGUGCCGGGUAAUGCCCGGGCAGAGCAAUCUGACGGAAAGCGCCACAGAAAUCAAACUACCCCGGCCCGCCGGGGAACAGGUGAAACGGUGGGGUAAAAGCCCACCGGGGGGCUGGCAACAGCCCCCGCACGGCAAGCCCCACCCGGAGCAAUGCCGAAUAGGGGGAUCGCGCGGGGCAACCCGCAGGGUCGCUUCAGCCCAGAUCCCCGGGUUGGCAGCACGAGGCCGUUGGCGACAGCGGUCCCAGAGGAAUGGUCGUCCCUCCAGCAACGGAGGACAGAAUCCGGCUUACAGGCCCUCCGCGCGU
This 368-nucleotide RNase P RNA is filed under the name Marivita hallyeonensis. RNAcentral describes it as "Marivita sp. DPG-28 Bacterial RNase P class A". It matches the Rfam family "Bacterial RNase P class A". Rfam says of the family: Ribonuclease P (RNase P) is a ubiquitous endoribonuclease, found in archaea, bacteria and eukarya as well as chloroplasts and mitochondria. Lineage: Bacteria; Pseudomonadati; Pseudomonadota; Alphaproteobacteria; Rhodobacterales; Roseobacteraceae. The record is from Rfam by way of RNAcentral.